GACGAACGCUGGCGGCGUGCUUAACACAUGCAAGUCGAACGGAAAGGCCCUGCUUUUGUGGGGUGCUCGAGUGGCGAACGGGUGAGUAACACGUGAGUAACCUGCCCUUGACUUUGGGAUAACUUCAGGAAACUGGGGCUAAUACCGGAUAGGAGCUCCUGCUGCAUGGUGGGGGUUGGAAAGUUUCGGCGGUUGGGGAUGGACUCGCGGCUUAUCAGCUUGUUGGUGGGGUAGUGGCUUACCAAGGCUUUGACGGGUAGCCGGCCUGAGAGGGUGACCGGCGACAUUGGGACUGAGGGACGGCCCAGACUCCAACGGGAGGCAGCGGUGGGGAGUAUUGCACAAUGGGCGGAAGCCUGAUGCAGCAACGCCGCGUGCGGGAUGACGGCUUUCGGGGUGUAAACCGCUUUCGCCUGUGACGAAGCGUGAGUGACGGUAAUGGGUAAAGAAGCACCGGCUAACUACGUG
Molecule: ribosomal RNA, 468 nt
Filed under: uncultured bacterium
Lineage: Bacteria
Description: partial 16S ribosomal RNA
Rfam family: Bacterial small subunit ribosomal RNA
Source: RNAcentral